Small nucleolar RNA from Dioscorea cayenensis subsp. rotundata (Guinea yam), 107 nucleotides. The record is from RefSeq and is a predicted model, not a curated record. NCBI's taxonomy places the organism in Eukaryota, Viridiplantae, Streptophyta, Magnoliopsida, Dioscoreales, Dioscoreaceae.
AAGCCAUGUUAAGGAUAUUUCCGUAGGAGCUCCUUGAAACUAUCCCAUGUCUCAAAAAGAGACUCCGAUUCCAUUUGCACAAAACUGGAUAUUUCAUUCCUAAGCUU